UAAAUACAGCAGCAAAAAUAUACCCCGCCAAAAAAAAAGCUUUCGCCAGCUUUAAAGUAUCUAGAAAGUAGAAACUAAUCUGAGUCUAACAAAUGCUUUCCAUUCGAACGUCAAAAAAUUUUAAUCUAUUAAAUAUCCCACUCAUGUAGGUUGUUAAUUCUAAUGCAUUUUCAAUGAUUAUUAAGGUUGACCAAGCCACAGAACUACCACCAACCUCUUUGGUUGUAAAAAGCACCACAACAAAUCAAAUUAGCAACAAAACACUCAUACCUAGCAUACCUUGUAACUACAAGAUCAAUCAG
Molecule: unclassified non-coding RNA, 302 nt
Filed under: Hevea brasiliensis (rubber tree)
Lineage: Eukaryota; Viridiplantae; Streptophyta; Magnoliopsida; Malpighiales; Euphorbiaceae
Source: RNAcentral